AUUCAAAAAUAGAGCCUGCGGCGCUUUCAAACGCAAUUUUGAUACUAUUUUGUAUCGAUUUUCUAGGUACUUUACGGGUCAAACAUUCAAAAAUGGAGCCUGCGGCGCUUUCAAAUGAUUCCUAGAAACUAUUUUGCAGCCAGUUUCAAGACCCCCCCCCGCCCAGACAAAAAAAUGGACGGUGUCCCGCUUUCAGCCAACGAAAAUCUAGUCACGCUAACAGUCAAAUAAACGAAAAUGGUUAAUUCAUAAGUUAUUAAAAAAUGAAGCCUUUUUUAAAUCGAGGAAUGUCCUGUGCGCAAAUAAAUCAAUAUUAAAAACAUGAUAUACUUUAUUUUUUUUUGUAUAUAAUGCACAGGGCCCGCUAUAUUUUCCCCCCGGGCCCGCAUUUU
This 392-nucleotide long non-coding RNA is filed under the name Olea europaea subsp. europaea. The record is from RNAcentral. Lineage: Eukaryota; Viridiplantae; Streptophyta; Magnoliopsida; Lamiales; Oleaceae.